GGAUGCGAUCAUACCAGCACUAACGCACCGGAUCCCAUCAGAACUCCGAAGUUAAGCGCGCUUGGGCGAGAGUAGUACUAGGAUGGGUGACCCCCUGGGAAGUCCACGUGUUGCAUCCC
Molecule: ribosomal RNA, 119 nt
Filed under: Nicotiana attenuata
Lineage: Eukaryota; Viridiplantae; Streptophyta; Magnoliopsida; Solanales; Solanaceae
Source: RNAcentral